GAUGAACGCUGGCGGCGUGCCUAAUACAUGCAAGUCGAGCGAACGGACGAGAAGCUUGCUUCUCUGAUGUUAGCGGCGGACGGGUGAGUAACACGUGGAUAGCCUACCUAUAAGACUGGGAUAACUUCGGGAAACCGGAGCUAAUACCGGAUGAUAUUUUGAACCGCAUGGUUCAAAAGUGAAAGACGGUCUUGCUGUCACUUAUAGAUGGAUCCGCGCUGCAUUAGCUAGUUGGUAAGGUAACGGCUUACCAAGGCAACGAUGCAUAGCCGACCUGAGAGGGUGAUCGGUCACACUGGAACUGAGACACGGUCCAGACUCCUACGGGAGGCAGCAGUAGGGAAUCUUCCGCAAUGGGCGAAAGCCUGACGGAGCAACGCCGCGUGAGUGAUGAAGGUCUUCGGAUCGUAAAACUCUGUUAUUAGGGAAGAACAUAUGUGUAAGUAACUGUGCACAUCUUGACGGUACCUAACCAGAAAGCCACGGCUAACUACGUG
This 497-nucleotide ribosomal RNA is filed under the name uncultured bacterium. Its description in RNAcentral is "partial 16S ribosomal RNA". It matches the Rfam family "Bacterial small subunit ribosomal RNA", at positions 28 to 507 of the family's 1533-position model. The record is from RNAcentral.